This 1688-nucleotide ribosomal RNA is filed under the name Salmonella enterica subsp. enterica serovar Infantis. RNAcentral describes it as "partial 23S ribosomal RNA". It matches the Rfam family "Bacterial large subunit ribosomal RNA", at positions 1271 to 2925 of the family's 2925-position model. The record is from RNAcentral. Lineage: Bacteria; Pseudomonadati; Pseudomonadota; Gammaproteobacteria; Enterobacterales; Enterobacteriaceae.
UGCUGGAGGUAUCAGAAGUGCGAAUGCUGACAUAAGUAACGAUAAAGCGGGUGAAAAGCCCGCUCGCCGGAAGACCAAGGGUUCCUGUCCAACGUUAAUCGGGGCAGGGUGAGUCGACCCCUAAGGCGAGGCCGAAAGGCGUAGUCGAUGGGAAACGGGUUAAUAUUCCCGUACUUGGUGUUACUGCGAAGGGGGGACGGAGAAGGCUAUGUUGGCCGGGCGACGGUUGUCCCGGUUUAAGCGUGUAGGUGUGUGUUCCAGGUAAAUCCGGUUCACUUUAACACUGAGGCGUGAUGACGAGGCACUACGGUGCUGAAGCAACAAAUGCCCUGCUUCCAGGAAAAGCCUCUAAGCAUCAGGUAACAUCAAAUCGUACCCCAAACCGACACAGGUGGUCAGGUAGAGAAUACCAAGGCGCUUGAGAGAACUCGGGUGAAGGAACUAGGCAAAAUGGUGCCGUAACUUCGGGAGAAGGCACGCUGACAUGUAGGUGAAGUGAUUUACUCAUGGAGCUGAAGUCAGUCGAAGAUACCAGCUGGCUGCAACUGUUUAUUAAAAACACAGCACUGUGCAAACACGAAAGUGGACGUAUACGGUGUGACGCCUGCCCGGUGCCGGAAGGUUAAUUGAUGGGGUCAGCGCAAGCGAAGCUCCUGAUCGAAGCCCCGGUAAACGGCGGCCGUAACUAUAACGGUCCUAAGGUAGCGAAAUUCCUUGUCGGGUAAGUUCCGACCUGCACGAAUGGCGUAAUGAUGGCCAGGCUGUCUCCACCCGAGACUCAGUGAAAUUGAACUCGCUGUGAAGAUGCAGUGUACCCGCGGCAAGACGGAAAGACCCCGUGAACCUUUACUAUAGCUUGACACUGAACAUUGAGCCUUGAUGUGUAGGAUAGGUGGGAGGCUUUGAAGCGUGGACGCCAGUCUGCGUGGAGCCGACCUUGAAAUACCACCCUUUAAUGUUUGAUGUUCUAACGUGGACCCGUAAUCCGGGUUGCGGACAGUGUCUGGUGGGUAGUUUGACUGGGGCGGUCUCCUCCUAAAGAGUAACGGAGGAGCACGAAGGUUGGCUAAUCCUGGUCGGACAUCAGGAGGUUAGUGCAAUGGCAUAAGCCAGCUUGACUGCGAGCGUGACGGCGCGAGCAGGUGCGAAAGCAGGUCAUAGUGAUCCGGUGGUUCUGAAUGGAAGGGCCAUCGCUCAACGGAUAAAAGGUACUCCGGGGAUAACAGGCUGAUACCGCCCAAGAGUUCAUAUCGACGGCGGUGUUUGGCACCUCGAUGUCGGCUCAUCACAUCCUGGGGCUGAAGUAGGUCCCAAGGGUAUGGCUGUUCGCCAUUUAAAGUGGUACGCGAGCUGGGUUUAGAACGUCGUGAGACAGUUCGGUCCCUAUCUGCCGUGGGCGCUGGAGAACUGAGGGGGGCUGCUCCUAGUACGAGAGGACCGGAGUGGACGCAUCACUGGUGUUCGGGUUGUCAUGCCAAUGGCACUGCCCGGUAGCUAAAUGCGGAAGAGAUAAGUGCUGAAAGCAUCUAAGCACGAAACUUGCCCCGAGAUGAGUUCUCCCUGAGACUUAGAGUCUCCUGAAGGAACGUUGAAGACGACGACGUUGAUAGGCCGGGUGUGUAAGCGCAGCGAUGCGUUGAGCUAACCGGUACUAAUGAACCGUGAGGCUUAACCUUACAACGCCGAAG